RNAcentral lists this ribosomal RNA (207 nucleotides) under uncultured bacterium. RNAcentral's name for it is "partial 16S ribosomal RNA". It matches the Rfam family "Bacterial small subunit ribosomal RNA", at positions 568 to 774 of the family's 1533-position model. The record is from RNAcentral.
UGCAUAGGCGGAUUGGCAAGUCAGAAGUGAAAUCCAUGGGCUUAACCCAUGAACUGCUUUUGAAACUGUUAGUCUUGAGUGAAGUAGAGGUAGGCGGAAUUCCCGGUGUAGCGGUGAAAUGCGUAGAGAUCGGGAGGAACACCAGUGGCGAAGGCGGCCUACUGGGCUUUAACUGACGCUGAGGCACGAAAGUGUGGGUAGCAAACA